Molecule: unclassified non-coding RNA, 151 nt
Organism: Chrysemys picta bellii (western painted turtle)
Lineage: Eukaryota; Metazoa; Chordata; Testudines; Emydidae
Source: Ensembl
UUGAUAGCCCUGGAGUCUUCUCUUUUUCUCCCUGCAUGGGAAGAGCAAGGCAAUCUUCCCCACAGUGCCAAGCCAAUGUGGCUCAUCACUGAUCUGGAGGGACCAUCUCUGGAGUAUUUCAGUCCCCAUAUUCAUUCAAUCCUUGGUAUCU